RNAcentral lists this ribosomal RNA (253 nucleotides) under uncultured bacterium. Its description in RNAcentral is "partial 16S ribosomal RNA". It matches the Rfam family "Bacterial small subunit ribosomal RNA", at positions 524 to 776 of the family's 1533-position model. The record is from RNAcentral.
UACGGAGGGUGCAAACGUUGCUCGGAAUUAUUGGGCGUAAAGCGCACGUAGGCGGCCUGUUAUGUCCGGUGUGAAAUCCCUCGGCUUAACUGAGGAAGUGCAUUGGAAACUGGCAGGCUCGAGUACAGAAGAGGAUCGCGGAAUUCCCGGUGUAGAGGUGAAAUUCGUAGAUAUCGGGAGGAACACCAGUGGCGAAGGCGGCGAUCUGGGCUGAUACUGACGCUGAGGUGCGAAAGCGUGGGGAGCAAACAGG